RNAcentral lists this ribosomal RNA (501 nucleotides) under uncultured bacterium. RNAcentral's name for it is "partial 16S ribosomal RNA". It matches the Rfam family "Bacterial small subunit ribosomal RNA", at positions 30 to 523 of the family's 1533-position model. The record is from RNAcentral.
AUUGAACGCUGGCGGCAGGCUUAACACAUGCAAGUCGAGCGGAGAGAGGUAGCUUGCUACUGAUCUUAGCGGCGGACGGGUGAGUAAUGCUUAGGAAUCUGCCUAUUAGUGGGGGACAACAUUUCGAAAGGAAUGCUAAUACCGCAUACGUCCUACGGGAGAAAGCAGGGGAUCUUCGGACCUCGCGCUAAUAGAUGAGCCUAAGUCGGAUUAGCUAGUUGGGGGGGUAAAGGCCUACCAAGGCGACGAUCUGUAGCGGGUCUGAGCGGAUGGGCCGCCACACUGGGACUGAGACACGGCCCAGACUCCUACGGGAGGCAGCAGUGGGGAAUAUUGGACAAUGGGCGGAAGCCUGAUCCAGCCAUGCCGCGUGUGUGAAGAAGGCCUUAUGGUUGCAAAGCACUUUAAGCGAGGAGGAGGCUACUUUAGUUAAUACCUAGAGAUAGUGGACGUUACUCGCAGAAUAAGCACCGGCUAACUCUGUGCCAGCCGCCGCAGUAA